RNAcentral lists this ribosomal RNA (330 nucleotides) under uncultured Clostridiaceae bacterium. Its description in RNAcentral is "bacterial SSU rRNA". It matches the Rfam family "Bacterial small subunit ribosomal RNA", at positions 28 to 339 of the family's 1533-position model. The record is from RNAcentral. Lineage: Bacteria; Bacillati; Bacillota; Clostridia; Eubacteriales; Clostridiaceae.
GAUGAACGCUGGCGGCGUGCCUAAUACAUGCAAGUCGAGCGAGAAUCUCUUCAGAAGCGUUUUCGGACAAUUCCGAGGAGAGGAAAGCGGCGGACGGGUGAGUAACGCGUAGGCAACCUGCCCUUAGCAGAGGGAUAGCCAUUGGAAACGAUGAUUAAAACCUCAUAAUGCCAUCUUUACACAUGUUUAGAUGGCCAAAGAUUUAUCGGCUAAGGAUGGGCCUGCGUCUGAUUAACUAGUUGGUGAGGUAACGGCCCACCAAGGUGACGAUCAGUAGCCGACCUGAGAGGGUGAUCGGCCACAUUGGAACUGAGACACGGUCCAAACUUC